CUGUAUUGAAUCAUCUAUUGGCGAUGGCCGGAGAUUGGCAAUUAAUGAGCGGGAAUGUGUUGCUAAUUCCGAAUUGUGUUCUGGUGCAUGUAAUAAAAUAAAUAAUUACAAGCACCCCCUUAAACCCUUCAAAUUAUUGAACUAUAUGGUGUUGCAGUAUAGCGUGAAGAGUUCUGGAAGAAAAGUAUGACCAUGAAGUAUCUUUGAAGAGUAAAGUAGGAAUAUAUUGGUUUAUUUCAGUUGCAUAUGGCUCAGUAGAACUCUCAAUCCCAAAUGACCCAGAAUCUCUUGGAUGCACUACACAUCCAUGGCAUAAGGUGGAACUUACACUUGCAGGUUCAUGGCCGAAGUGUUGCCGUAAAUUAUUCGUAGAAAGAUAAGCUAAAUUUAAAAAAAAUAUAUAUUCGACACCUGCACUUCCAAAGGUAGAAUUUAAUGUAUUUGCAGUAAACCUAAAAAUAUGUCUGAUAAAACUUCUUCUGAGUGUAUUUAUUUUUAAUAGAUGAGGCUUUUGGAUACUAAACAAUCACUAUCUUCAACACCUAUCAUUGAAAAAAUAGUAUUUGCAACCCUGAUUUUUAUGUUAUUGUAUUGGUAUGAAUGUAAUCUUCAUAACACAGUAAAAACAUAAGGUCACCAUGGUUGAAGACAAA
Molecule: long non-coding RNA, 653 nt
Organism: Bacillus rossius redtenbacheri
Lineage: Eukaryota; Metazoa; Arthropoda; Insecta; Phasmatodea; Bacillidae
Exons: 2
Source: RefSeq, a predicted model, not a curated record